UGACAUUGAUUACAUUAAAUCUCACGGAGGUGGUGUUCCCCCUGAUAUCACUAACAAACUAAACCAGCUUGAUACCAAGGUGUCAGCAGCUGAGAAUAGAGUGACUGCCCUUGAAGCGACAGUUCACAGGGUGGCUUGCAGCAGCAAUCCCUGUCAGAACGGAGGGACAUGUCUGAACUUACUCAACUCAUACCACUGUCUGUGUCCCAACAACUGGGCUGUGAGUUCCAUACUGUUUUGUUACGUUAUGGGAAUGGUUAUUAUAUGUAUUAAUGUAAA
Molecule: long non-coding RNA, 279 nt
Organism: Lates calcarifer (barramundi perch)
Lineage: Eukaryota; Metazoa; Chordata; Actinopteri; Centropomidae
Exons: 3
Source: RefSeq, a predicted model, not a curated record